UGGGGAAUAUUGGACAAUGGGCGCAAGCCUGAUCCAGCCAUGCCGCGUGAGUGAUGAAGGCCCUAGGGUUGUAAAGCUCUUUCGCCAGGGACGAUAAUGACGGUACCUGGAUAAGAAGCCCCGGCUAACUUCGUGCCAGCAGCCGCGGUAAUACGAAGGGGGCUAGCGUUGUUCGGAAUCACUGGGCGUAAAGCGCACGUAGGCGGAUCUUUAAGUCAGGGGUGAAAUCCCGAGGCUCAACCUCGGAACUGCCUUUGAUACUGGAGGUCUCGAGUCCGGGAGAGGUGAGUGGAACUGCGAGUGUAGAGGUGAAAUUCGUAGAUAUUCGCAAGAACACCAGUGGCGAAGGCGGCUCACUGGCCCGGUACUGACGCUGAGGUGCGAAACGCGUGGGGAGCAAACAGGAUUAGAUACCCUGGUAGUCCACGCCGUAAACUAUGGAUGCUAGCCGUUGGGCAGCUUGCUGUUCAGUGGCGCAGCUAACGCUUUAAGCACCCGCCUGGGGAGUACGGUCGCAAGAUUAAAACUUAAAUGAAUUGACGGGGUCAUAGCGUUU
RNAcentral lists this ribosomal RNA (556 nucleotides) under uncultured bacterium. RNAcentral describes it as "partial 16S ribosomal RNA". It matches the Rfam family "Bacterial small subunit ribosomal RNA", at positions 355 to 934 of the family's 1533-position model. The record is from RNAcentral.